Molecule: long non-coding RNA, 1670 nt
Organism: Alosa sapidissima (American shad)
Lineage: Eukaryota; Metazoa; Chordata; Actinopteri; Clupeiformes; Clupeidae
Exons: 2
Source: RefSeq, a predicted model, not a curated record
AAAAUAAAUGUGUGUGUGUGUGUGUGUGUGUGUGUGUGUGUGUGUUUGUUUGUAGCUGGAGAACAGCCUGCUCCAGUUGGUUGUGUGUAAAUCAAGCGCGAGGCCUGCCGUACGACACCAGCACGGUGCACAUCUGUGUGAACAGAUGCAGGCGCUCCUAAUGCCUACCCCUCUGGAAGUAAUCCAGACGAGGGGGGGGGGGGUGCGAGUGCUGGCAUUGUUACGCCUGUUUGCCCACUAAGCAGUUGUUUGUGAUUCCCAACCCUCCUCAUCCCCCUCUCCUACGCACCCCACCCCACCCCCCAACAACUGUGCAAGGGCUUAUGGGAUACAUUACCCAGAGUCCUCUGCUCAGUAUAUAUCAGUAACGGGUGUGGGGCAGGCCGGGCUUGCUGGGGAGAUUCCUUUGGGUUCCUCUCUGCUGUGCAGAGCUCAAUGGGAGAGGAGGAGGAGCUCUAGCCUCAACUCUUAUGUCUGAAUCUUUUCUUCAACUGCACACUGUGAAAAUAGAUCGGAUUUUGGUUUGGUGGUUUGUUUUUGAAAGAAGAGCAUGACUUUGGAAAGAAGGCUUUGGAGUACACACUAAGCACUGUGCUGUUGUCUCUUUGAAGGGGAUGUCGUUGUGAGUCAGUUAUCUGUGUGUGUAUGUGUUUGUGCGUGUGUGGUGUAUAUACCCACAGGGUACAUUUAUAGGUAUGAUGAAGGUAGCGUUUUUACUUGUCCCUGUAGUAGUCAUCUUUAAUCUUGUUCCUAUCUUGACCAUAGAUGUUUUUGAGAUUAAAUGAAGGAAAUUAAGGAAUUGUGAGAUUAAAUGAAGGAAAUGCAACAUCUGCACAUUUUUUUAUAUAUAUAUAUAUGCAGAUUUCAGUUCAACACACAUUGGUUUAGAGUAGACCAGGGAUUCUCACAUUGGGGUCUGCGGCCCCCUGGUGGUCUGUGAAGGCAUUGGCCUGAUCAUGCAGUAAAUAAUCUAGUUUCACUGGGAAUCUCUAUUCAGUGGUGGUCCUCCACUUCAUUCCUUAGUCAGAAUGGUGGUCCCUGGGUCACAGUCAGUUGAGAACACCCUGGAGUAGAUAGUUAUUAUUUGUUUGUUUUGGUUUUGUUCGUUUGUUUAUUUUAUGUCCUUAACAUGCCUGUCGCACAGAACAAUGUGUAUGUAAUCGUUCAUGAAAUCUACUGCACACACUGUCUCUUAUGCAGUUCAUUUAUCAAAUGCACUGUUAGUGUUGAUGUGCCAAACAUUUGAUUGUGUAAAUAUAUUUCUGUGAUUGUACUGAAAUGUAUGUCGACACAUAAUCGUAAACAAAUUGUGAUUGUAUUUUUCGUAUUUAAUCAUUUGCCAAAGGAGCUGUUGUAUGAAGUUAUUUUGUGGUUUAAGUUUUCAACUGUGUAGUACUUCCUUUAGUUUUGGUGUCGAGGAAGUUCAAAAAGAGACUUUACAACCAACAUAGGAUACAUAGGAACUUGUGUGACCACAUAACUGAAAAGUACUGUUAUAAAAUAGAAAACAUAUCAAAGAUUUGUACAACAUUUAUUUUCCUGCAUGCAAUAUGCUUUUAUGGCACAAUCUUGAAAUCUCCAAAAUAUUUAUAUCAAAGCAGUGCCAUUGCCAUUUAGCAGAAAUGUAUAUAUUAAAUCAAAUAAAUAUUUGAUUCAACCUUUGAACAAUC